GCCUCGGUAGCGCAGUUGGUAGCGCCUCAGUCUCAGAAUCUGGAGGUCGUGAGUUCAAACCUCUCCCGGGACA
Molecule: non-coding RNA, 73 nt
Organism: Ornithodoros turicata
Lineage: Eukaryota; Metazoa; Arthropoda; Arachnida; Ixodida; Argasidae
Source: the annotation of a RefSeq genome assembly